Molecule: ribosomal RNA, 1542 nt
Filed under: Salmonella enterica subsp. enterica serovar Adelaide
Lineage: Bacteria; Pseudomonadati; Pseudomonadota; Gammaproteobacteria; Enterobacterales; Enterobacteriaceae
Description: bacterial SSU rRNA
Rfam family: Bacterial small subunit ribosomal RNA
Source: RNAcentral
AAAUUGAAGAGUUUGAUCAUGGCUCAGAUUGAACGCUGGCGGCAGGCCUAACACAUGCAAGUCGAACGGUAACAGGAAGCAGCUUGCUGCUUCGCUGACGAGUGGCGGACGGGUGAGUAAUGUCAGGGAAACUGCCUGAUGGAGGGGGAUAACUACUGGAAACGGUGGCUAAUACCGCAUAACGUCGCAAGACCAAAGAGGGGGACCUUCGGGCCUCUUGCCAUCAGAUGUGCCCAGAUGGGAUUAGCUAGUUGGUGAGGUAACGGCUCACCAAGGCGACGAUCCCUAGCUGGUCUGAGAGGAUGACCAGCCACACUGGAACUGAGACACGGUCCAGACUCCUACGGGAGGCAGCAGUGGGGAAUAUUGCACAAUGGGCGCAAGCCUGAUGCAGCCAUGCCGCGUGUAUGAAGAAGGCCUUCGGGUUGUAAAGUACUUUCAGCGGGGAGGAAGGUGUUGUGGUUAAUAACCACAGCAAUUGACGUUACCCGCAGAAGAAGCACCGGCUAACUCCGUGCCAGCAGCCGCGGUAAUACGGAGGGUGCAAGCGUUAAUCGGAAUUACUGGGCGUAAAGCGCACGCAGGCGGUCUGUCAAGUCGGAUGUGAAAUCCCCGGGCUCAACCUGGGAACUGCAUUCGAAACUGGCAGGCUUGAGUCUUGUAGAGGGGGGUAGAAUUCCAGGUGUAGCGGUGAAAUGCGUAGAGAUCUGGAGGAAUACCGGUGGCGAAGGCGGCCCCCUGGACAAAGACUGACGCUCAGGUGCGAAAGCGUGGGGAGCAAACAGGAUUAGAUACCCUGGUAGUCCACGCCGUAAACGAUGUCUACUUGGAGGUUGUGCCCUUGAGGCGUGGCUUCCGGAGCUAACGCGUUAAGUAGACCGCCUGGGGAGUACGGCCGCAAGGUUAAAACUCAAAUGAAUUGACGGGGGCCCGCACAAGCGGUGGAGCAUGUGGUUUAAUUCGAUGCAACGCGAAGAACCUUACCUGGUCUUGACAUCCACAGAAGAAUCCAGAGAUGGAUUUGUGCCUUCGGGAACUGUGAGACAGGUGCUGCAUGGCUGUCGUCAGCUCGUGUUGUGAAAUGUUGGGUUAAGUCCCGCAACGAGCGCAACCCUUAUCCUUUGUUGCCAGCGGUCCGGCCGGGAACUCAAAGGAGACUGCCAGUGAUAAACUGGAGGAAGGUGGGGAUGACGUCAAGUCAUCAUGGCCCUUACGACCAGGGCUACACACGUGCUACAAUGGCGCAUACAAAGAGAAGCGACCUCGCGAGAGCAAGCGGACCUCAUAAAGUGCGUCGUAGUCCGGAUUGGAGUCUGCAACUCGACUCCAUGAAGUCGGAAUCGCUAGUAAUCGUGGAUCAGAAUGCCACGGUGAAUACGUUCCCGGGCCUUGUACACACCGCCCGUCACACCAUGGGAGUGGGUUGCAAAAGAAGUAGGUAGCUUAACCUUCGGGAGGGCGCUUACCACUUUGUGAUUCAUGACUGGGGUGAAGUCGUAACAAGGUAACCGUAGGGGAACCUGCGGUUGGAUCACCUCCUUA